RNAcentral lists this ribosomal RNA (163 nucleotides) under uncultured bacterium. RNAcentral's name for it is "partial 16S ribosomal RNA". It matches the Rfam family "Bacterial small subunit ribosomal RNA", at positions 355 to 509 of the family's 1533-position model. The record is from RNAcentral.
UGGGGAAUUUUUGGACAAUGGGGGCAACCCUGAUCCAGCCAUUCCGCGUGAGUGAAGAAGGCCUUCGGGUUGUAAAGCUCUUUCAGCAGGAACGAAACGGUCGACUUUAAUAAAGUCGUCUAAUGACGGUACCUGCAGAAGAAGCACCGGCUAACUACGUGCC